This 3171-nucleotide long non-coding RNA is filed under the name Panax ginseng (ginseng). RNAcentral's name for it is "long non-coding RNA (PGIN_LNC008947)". The record is from RNAcentral. Lineage: Eukaryota; Viridiplantae; Streptophyta; Magnoliopsida; Apiales; Araliaceae.
UGCUGUGUAGUCGUAUCUAUAGUACCGGACUAGCGUCGUGUUUUAGCUGUGGCAAUAUUGUCGAGAGAGAGCGCAGUCAAAAUAUUGGAUGGGGAGCUAAUUAAUUCAUAUUCAUACAAUAACAAGAAAAGGAAUGAAGCUUCCUCUCCUCUCUAUCUUCAGACCUACAUAUAUACAUACAUUUAUUUAUUAUUCAAUAUUAAUAUUAAAUUACAUAUUAAUGGAACGAAAAUAUAUUUGUGAUUUGUCAUAAUUAACUAAAUUUGGCUAUAGAUUCAUUUUUUUCGUUAAUGACAUGCCUUUUUAUCUUUUAUAUUAAUAGCAUUACACAAUUAUUACUAUAUUAUAUAUUGCCAAAUAUUACCUUAUUUUGGGCAUGAUCUAUAGUUUAAUUGUAGCACACCACACUUAUAUAUUUCUUUUUCCAAAUUAAAAAAAUGAUUGAUCUAUAUUAGUUUCUUCGAUACUGGUACUUGUCUUCUCUUUCACAACACAUGCACCACCACCUAUAUUAGUUUCUUCUCGAUCCCUCCUCCUUCUCUUUCUCUCAGCUGCUCCUCUCCUACACAACUUAAUUUCACCGUCUUAAUUCUAAACAUAUAUAUGUAUAUAUAAUUAAUACAAAGUAUAUAUUAUUAUAUCUAUAUAUUGUAUAAUCUUAAAGAAAGAAAGAAAGAGAUAUAUAUAUAUAGAUCAGAUGAGUAAUAGUCGUGGUGAUCAUGGAAUAGUUGGGAGGGCUCUAAGCAGCCUGGGCAAAGGAUUCGACUUAACUUCUGAUUUCCGAUUAAAGUACUGCAAAGGCAAAGACAGGCUGGUUCUUCUCAAUGAAACUCAAACAAAGGAGCUUCAAAUACCAGGUUUUGGAUCAUUUAAUCAUGUCUCAAAUGACAUCAAAUGCGGUAAAGGCGACCGAAUUCGAUAUCAAUCAGAUAUUCUCGACUUCAAUCAGGUAUAAAAAUAUAUAUAAAUAUAGUUUUUCGUUAUGUCUUAUAAUUAGUAAUUAAGUUGUUAAAUAUUAAAAUUUAUAUAUACGUGUAAAUUAAUACAGUAUAUAUUAUGUAUAUAUAGAUGUCGGAAUUCAUAAACCAAAAAUGCUCGGUUCCGGGGAAAAUUCCGUCAGGAUUGUUCAACUCAAUGUUUGGUUUGGAGAGCGGAUCAUGGGCAAAGGAAGCUGCCAACACCAAAUAUUUAGGUCUAGAUGGUUACUUCAUUCGACUCUUCGAUCUUCAUAUUAAUCGAUAUCCUCUCCUGCUCUCCGACCACGUCCGAAAUGCAGUUCCUUCCACUUGGGAUCCAUCUGCUCUUGCCAGGUACGUAAAUAUAUAAUAAUUACACGACGACUAAACAUUUUUUAUUCCCUCCCUCCCAAGGCAUUAAUUCAUUCAAAGUCCUAAUUUGUAGGCUAACUGUUGGAAUUUUAAAUUUAUUAAUUGUUUUGGAAGUUCUCGUAUUAUAUAUAAUAGAAUGUGUGCAUCCCCAUCCUAUCCUAGCUACUUAAUUUUCACCUACUACUUCAUCAUUUCAACUCCAGAUAUAUAAGCCACCCUUUAAUUCUCCCACUCAUCUCUCCCUCUUUCUCUCUCAAAUCUAAGUAAAAAAAAAUAGCGCGCAAGAAGAGACAGGUGAUCAAGUCUAGAUACAAUGCACAUACUGUUGUAAGGUGGCUGGCCAGGUUGAAUAUGUAAUUUCAACUAAUUAAUCAAUUAUAUUUUGACUUGAUUCGAGAAGCAGGUAACUAGCCAACUACUAGUUGUGACUUGUGACUAAAUCAAUAAAAGGACCAGAACUGCUACCUCUCCCCUUAUAUGUAUAUUUCUGUAGUCUUGUUUUUUUCCUUGCUAAAAUAUAUACACACACUAUACUGCUUGAAAAAACAGAAAAUUACUUGUUGAACUAUAUAAUUUUUUUUAAAUACAUUUAAAAAAUAUAUAUUCUGUUUUGCUGCACAUGAUUCGAUUUGAUAAUAUUUUUUUUAAUAUGAAUAUUUUUAGUCAUAAAAAAUGUAAUAUUUAAAAAAAAAUUGGGUGUAAAUUCUCUUUCUAUGGAGUGUUAAGGUGUGCUUUGCCUUGGAGAGUACUACUAUAGUACUAUUAAUAAUUAUUAAGUUCAGACUUGAACUCGUCAACAAAUGUGUAUGUAUCAACUUAAAAUCAUUGAUUCAAUGAUUUGUUACCAUCAUAUUUAUUUUUAUAUAUACACACCUGGAACAUCUGUAGCAUCAGUAACACAUAAGCUAUCUACUUAAAUAUAUUAAAAAAAUAUAAUAGAAACUGUCAAAGUUUAACUUAUCAAUAAAAGUCAAACCAUACACACCUCACCAACAGCUUAACUAGCUAUGUUACACUACACGCAUAGGAUUCUGUAACUUCCGUUAAAUAAGUGGUACAAUAUAUUACCAUUAUUGUUUUAAAUUUGAUGAAUAAAAAUAGUACAUAAAUAUUCACUCUUUUUUCUAAAAUAUAAGUUUUUUUUUAAAAAUAAAUCUUUUUUACAAAAACGAAAGAUCUUAUAUUUUAAAACAGAAAUUAUACUAAUAAGAUCUCUAAUGCAAAUUUUAUUUUCCUAGUCAACAUUUAUACAGGAUUGUAAGGGUAUUAUAGUAAACUAGUGGGCUGCCAGCCAUUAUUUUUUCCCAAUAUUAAAACAGUGUCUUAAUUUGUACUCUGACGUGCAUUUGGGUUGUUUAUUUGUCAAGACUCUCUCCCAUUUAAAACGUUAACAAUGUUGAAAGUGUCAAAAGAACCGCAGAUGGCUAAUGGCACCAAUAUGGGCUUUGGUCAAAAUUAGAAAGGCCACCCGAUAGACUACCUCUCUCUCUCUCUCUCUCUCUCUCUCUCUCUCUAUCUAUAUAUAUAUAUAUAUAUAUAUAUAUAUAUAUAUAUAUAUUUUUCUCAUAUAUAAAUAUAUAUAUAUAUAUAUAUAUAUAUAUUUAUAUAAUAAUAACACAAGUCUAACAUUGAGAGAUCAAAGUCACAUCGUACAUACAUGACAUCUUUUGGAACAAAAAUUCAAAUCUUAUCACCAUUAAUAAAUUAAUUAGAUUUGAAUUGAAUGAAUGGGAUGUGUAUGACAGAUUCAUAGAGAAAUAUGGGACUCACAUAAUAGUGGGGUUGGGCAUUGGAGGGCAGGACAUGGUGCUGGUGAGGCAAGACAAAUCAUCCAACUUGGAGG